Molecule: long non-coding RNA, 2871 nt
Organism: Pongo pygmaeus (Bornean orangutan)
Lineage: Eukaryota; Metazoa; Chordata; Mammalia; Primates; Hominidae
Exons: 3
Source: RefSeq, a predicted model, not a curated record
UAGGUAGAGUGUAAGGGUUAACCCACGAGUGGUAUAUGGAUAAAUUAGACACAGUCACAGAUCUGCAGGGAAAAAUAUAAUUAUAACCAUUGUGAAAGCAGGAUUAAUCAUCGAACUGAGCUAUCCAGUCAUAUUUCUUCUCCAAGGAGAUUUCAAACAGAAGAUGUAAAUUUUGGUAGUUACAUAAAAUGUCUCAGAUUUAAAUGAAAGACACAAAAAGCCACAUGUCAUCUGCUUUUCCUGAACAACGGUCUCUGCUGAAAUAUUGGUUCUGCCACCUACAAAGACAACUGAAGGCUGAGGAUGAAAAAUGCCUCCUGGAAGUCACUGAGUUUGUUAGGUAUAAAAGCCAAGACUUCAACUGAGGUCUUUGCACUGACGUGUACAUUAACCCCACACUGGGUAUCACUGUACUAUCACGUCCUGCAGGAGGAAGAUUACAGACGGCCAGUGUCUUCUCUGGUUUCUGGGUUGGUGACUUUGAACUUGCUACAGCUCCCACACCCGCAGCGAGCAGAGUUGCCAAGCAAGUGUGCCGGCUUCCAGAAGCCUGAGAUGCCCAUUGGUGCUUGGGAACCACCCGAGUUUCCCCAUCCUCUGUGCUGCUGCAGAUUGGUUGGGGCAGCCCGGGGAGGCUGGCUCCGACACAUGACUGAGCGUGCCUACACUGGUCCCACAGGUUUUCAGCUGUGGAGUUUGGGAUCUGAGCUUGGAGCCCAUUUGUUUCUGGCAGUUCGGUUCAUAUUUUCCACUUGAAGACAUCGCCUCCCUUCCUUCCAAGCUGGGAGACCAGAAGUCAACAACAGGAGGGUGGAGAGGCCGGAUCUCAUAAUCCGCUUGGCUGGGGAGUCCACUGAGGUUCUUGCAUCCUGAAGCAAACCAUGGAGAGCUGGUGGGGACUUCCCUGUCUUGCGUUCCUGUGUUUUCUAAUGCACACCCGAGGUCAAAGAGACUUUGAUUUGGCAGACGCCCUUGAUGACCCUGAAACGGAUUCUCACUAUGUUGCCCAGGCUGGUCUUGAACCCCCGGGCUCAAGCAAUCCUUCUACCUUGGUCUCUCAAAACACUGGGAUUACAGACGUGCCUUAACAUGCCUGGCCCAGUUUCUGCUUUUCUUACACUUCAGUUCAUAUCCUUCAUUGUCCCACACCCCGAUCCCAAUCCAUGGCUUCCAAUCUCCCCUCCCAGAACACACUUCAUUCCGUUCUCCCCUCAACUUCUCUGGUUACCUUCACUCGCGGGGCUGUGAGUUUUUCUUCUCCAGGGCACUGAGGACCUGGAAUCUUCCCAUUCUGUGUUUUCGUCAGUCCAAGUUCAGCUGGAACCUUUCUGGCUGACCAGAAUGCUGAAAAUAUGCGUCCUGGGCCCUGCAGAAAGUCCUGCUUGAGGCAGAUGGUCUAAUUGAGAUUCAGAUGUAUUCAGACCAUGGUGGGUGGGAGAAAGGGAAAGAUUUGGUUUCUAAUGCAGGCACAAUAGAACCAAACAUUUAUUUUGAAACAAAAAUAAACUUUUGUGUACACAGAGGAAUAAUCCAUUGGGCUUUAGCAUUGGGAACAACUGGUUGACCAGUGCAGUUACAUAAUGGUGUUUGUUGGAGGAAAAGAGAAUGAUAACCAGAUCUGAUCCUAAAAAGCCAACAACAAGAUAGUAGGAACUCAUCUGUCUCUCAGUUUUCUGCACACAGUGAUGUUUUUGCUAAUAAUUAUCCUACAAAGCAGAUACAAAAUUGUUGUCAGUGCAACAGGAAAAUGUAAUGACUCACCCCAACAUGGAGGUGCCAUUUCUCCCAUGAAGUUAAAAAAGGUGAAGGUUGAAUCCUGCCCUGUCAAGGCAGAUUGAGGGGUGGUGGUUGGAGGCAGGUGUGUGGUUGCAACCACUUUGGAAGCAUUGGGGGAUUCUCUCCAAAAUUCAGACUGAGUGUGUAGCACCAGCGUUUGGUUUGGAUAAAGAAUGAGGCAUAUCUGCAAGAGAACCCUGUGCAAUAGUGAAUGAGGGGCUGGCUGGUAGGCUCAGAUACAGAACAAGACAUGUUAUUGAUUUGAAAGAUCACUGACAUGUGACCCAGGAGUUCCACUUCUAGACAGAUACCCAAGAGAAUUGGGAGCCGGGACUCAAACAGUUAUUUGUGUACCCAUGUUUGCAGCAGCAAUAUUUACAAUAAGCCAAAGGUGGAAACAACCCAACUGUCCAUCAGGGGAUGAAUGAAUGAACAGAAUGUGGUCCCUCCAGGCAACAGAAUAUUAUUUGGCUGUAAAAAGGAAGGGGGUUCUGAUGCAUGCUACAUUAGCCUUGAAAAUGUGCUCAGUGAAAGAAGCCAGGCAGAAAAGGCCACAGGGUGUAGGAUCCCAUUAAUAUGAAAUGUCCAGAAUAGGCAAAUUCAGAGAGACAGAAAGUGGAUUAGCGAUUGUUGGGCUGGAAGAGGGGAGAAAAGGGAGGGACAGCUCAUGGUUGUGGGGUCUCCUUUUCGGGGGAUGAAACUGUUCUGGAACUAGAUACAGGUGGUGAUUGUACAAUAUUGUGAAUAUAUGAAACACCAUUGAAUUGUACUCCUUAAAAUGUCAAAUUUUAUGAUAUGUGAGUUUCACAUUGAUUUUUUAAAAAAAUCACAGAAAUAAACUUCCUUUCCACUCACCUGCUGCUACCUUUUCAUUGCUCACCUAGAGGACUGCCAGUGCCUGCAAACACAUCUUUGAAUGCAUCAUUUUGCUACCAAGAGCCCCCAGUGAAUGGGCAGGCAUGUGCCUGUUCAUACACAGCCCUGCCUUAUGGGAAGGAAGCCCCAGUGCACAGGAGCCACAGUCACCUGUAUGGUGACGGUGGGGAACUCUCUUUUCACUGUCUAUACUGCUUGGGCUUUAAGAAACUCUGUGAG